ACACGACUACAUUAGAUACCCGUGUAGUCCUAGCCGUAAACGAUACUCGCUAGGUGUCGGCCACGGCGCGACCGUUGUCGGUGCCGUAGGGAAGCCGUGAAGCGAGCCACCUGGGAAGUACGGCCGCAAGGCUGAAACUUAAAGGAAUUGGCGGGGGAGCACCACAACGGGUGGAGCUUGCGGUUUAAUUGGAUUCAACGCCGGAAAUCUUACCGGGACCGACAGCAACAUGAAGGCCAGGCUGAAGACUUUGCCGGAUUAGCUG
RNAcentral lists this ribosomal RNA (265 nucleotides) under uncultured archaeon. RNAcentral's name for it is "partial 16S ribosomal RNA". It matches the Rfam family "Archaeal small subunit ribosomal RNA", at positions 719 to 982 of the family's 1478-position model. The record is from RNAcentral.